RNAcentral lists this unclassified non-coding RNA (396 nucleotides) under soil metagenome. RNAcentral describes it as "partial contains 5.8S ribosomal RNA, internal transcribed spacer 2, and large subunit ribosomal RNA". The stretch from base 1 to 122 matches the Rfam family "5.8S ribosomal RNA", at positions 35 to 154 of the family's 154-position model. The record is from RNAcentral.
GAUGAAGAACGUAGUGAAAUGCGAUACUUGGUGUGAAUUGCAGAAUCCCGUGAACCAUCGAGUCUUUGAACGCAAGUUGCGCCCGAAGCCAUUUGGUUGAGGGCACGUCUGCCUGGGCGUCACAUAUCGUUGCCCGAUGCCUAUUGCACUGUGAUAGGAAAUUCUAGGGCGAAAGAUGGCUUCCCGUGAGCGUUGUUGCCUCGCGGUUGGUUGAAAAUUGAGUCAUUGGUAGGGUGUGCCAUGAUAGAUGGUGGUCGAGUUUGCACGAGACCGAUCAUGUGUGCGCUCCCCAAAAGAUGGACUCUUUGACCCCACACGCGUCUUUUGACGCUCAUGACGAGACCUCAGGUCAGGCGGGGCUACCCGCUGAGUUUAAGCAUAUCAAUAAGCGGAGGA